Molecule: long non-coding RNA, 307 nt
Filed under: Gallus gallus (chicken)
Lineage: Eukaryota; Metazoa; Chordata; Aves; Galliformes; Phasianidae
Source: RNAcentral
GGUUUCCAGUGUCCUCCUGGUUUAAUGUCCAAGUCUUUUGAAAAUAGUUGCUGAAUUUCAUCAAAACUAAUUUCACUCAUAUUUACAUCAAUAAGGCCUCUCAUGUAAGGCAGUUUCUCUGGACAAGCCUGGUAAGGAGAGUAAGUGAAGUUUUCUGGAAGAUACAUUGUUGUUUGAGCAACACAGUCACUAGAAUUGUUUCCUUCAGGAUAAUCUGUUCCAUUCAGUGUUGUAUUUUUGUUAGUAUACAAUCUGAUCAUGUGUCCUAUUGUUUUUACAUUUUCUCUCAACAUUAUACCACGUGCUU